UACGAAGGGGGCUAGCGUUGUUCGGAAUUACUGGGCGUAAAGCGCGCGUAGGCGGCUUUGCAAGUCGGGUGUGAAAUCUCCGGGCUUAACUCGGAACUGUCAGAUGAUACUGCUUUGCUAGAGUGCAGAAGGGGCAAUCGGAAUUCUUGGUGUAGCGGUGAAAUGCGUAGAUAUCAAGAGGAACACCUGAGGUGAAGACGGGUUGCUGGGCUGACACUGACGCUGAGGCGCGAAAGCCAGGGGAGCAAACGGG
This 253-nucleotide ribosomal RNA is filed under the name uncultured bacterium. RNAcentral describes it as "partial 16S ribosomal RNA". It matches the Rfam family "Bacterial small subunit ribosomal RNA", at positions 524 to 776 of the family's 1533-position model. The record is from RNAcentral.